This 449-nucleotide ribosomal RNA is filed under the name uncultured bacterium. RNAcentral's name for it is "partial 16S ribosomal RNA". It matches the Rfam family "Bacterial small subunit ribosomal RNA", at positions 29 to 523 of the family's 1533-position model. The record is from RNAcentral.
AACGAACGCUGGCGGCAGGCCUAACACAUGCAAGUCGAACGCCCUGGCAACAGGGAGUGGCAGACGGGUGAGUAACGCGUGGGAACGUGCCCUUCGGAUCGGAAUAACUCAGGGAAACUUGAGCUAAUACCGAAUACGUGCGAGAGCAGAAAGAUUUAUCGCCGAAGGAUCGGCCCGCGUCCGAUUAGCUAGUUGGUGAGGUAAUGGCUCACCAAGGCGACGAUCGGUAGCUGGUCUGAGAGGAUGAUCAGCCACACUGGGACUGAGACACGGCCCAGACUCCUACGGGAGGCAGCAGUGGGGAAUAUUGGACAAUGGGCGCAAGCCUGAUCCAGCCAUGCCGCGUGAGUGAUGGAGGCCCUAGGGUUGUAAAGCUCUUUCGCCAGGGACGAUAAUGACGGUACCUGGAUAAGAAGCCCUGGCUAACUUCGUGCCAGCCGCCGCGGUAA